AUUGCAAGUUCAAGGGCACAGCAGAAGCACUCAGGGGGUGGCCCUGUCAGAUUCCAAUGAAUGUAUGAAUUCUGCU
RNAcentral lists this non-coding RNA (76 nucleotides) under Crocodylus porosus (Australian saltwater crocodile). The record is from Rfam by way of RNAcentral. Lineage: Eukaryota; Metazoa; Chordata; Crocodylia; Crocodylidae.